CCUUUUCUUAAACUGACCUCACCAUAGAAAGACAUGAAUCUUGGGACACAGCUUCAGAAAAAUCUUUGCGAGCUUCUGCUGCUGCUUCCUCCUGAAUGGAUACACAGGCACACAGUUAACCGGCCAAGACAGGGAUUCAAAGCGAUCCCUCAGGGUCGUGCUUCCCAGCCGUUUAUGGGUCUCCGUGAGCACAACGGUUCUCACACUCACGAGUUUCUCUAAAGAGGCUGAUGGCAAGUGUUCUCGGAACCCAUCCUGAUGACAUAGGUUUCAGUCCACCCCAGCUCUGCAGAAUGCACGUCUCGAGGGAGAAGUCUGGGAAUCUGCGUUCCUACACUGUUCGCCACUCCGUUUACAGUCAGGCUUG
RNAcentral lists this long non-coding RNA (367 nucleotides) under Mus pahari (shrew mouse). RNAcentral's name for it is "lncRNA (MGP_PahariEiJ_G0004769.1)". Lineage: Eukaryota; Metazoa; Chordata; Mammalia; Rodentia; Muridae. The record is from RNAcentral.